ACGUAGGGUGCGAGCGUUGUCCGGAAUUAUUGGGCGUAAAGAGCUCGUAGGCGGUCUGUCGCGUCGAACGUGAAAUCCCCGGGCUCAACCCGGGAACUGCGUCCGAGACUGGCAGGCUCGAAUCCGGGAGAGGGAUGUGGAAUUCCAGGUGUAGCGGUGAAAUGCGUAGAUAUCUGGAGGAACACCGGUGGCGAAGGCGGCAUCCUGGACCGGUAUUGACGCUGAGGCGCGAAAGCCAGGGGAGCAAACGGGA
RNAcentral lists this ribosomal RNA (253 nucleotides) under uncultured prokaryote. Its description in RNAcentral is "partial 16S ribosomal RNA". It matches the Rfam family "Bacterial small subunit ribosomal RNA", at positions 525 to 777 of the family's 1533-position model. The record is from RNAcentral.